RNAcentral lists this ribosomal RNA (309 nucleotides) under uncultured bacterium. RNAcentral's name for it is "bacterial SSU rRNA". It matches the Rfam family "Bacterial small subunit ribosomal RNA", at positions 28 to 334 of the family's 1533-position model. The record is from RNAcentral.
GACGAACGCUGGCGGCGCGCCUAACACAUGCAAGUCGAACGAGCGAGAGAGAGCUUGCUUUCUCGAGCGAGUGGCGAACGGGUGAGUAACGCGUGAGGAACCUGCCUCAAAGAGGGGGACAACAGUUGGAAACAGCUGCUAAUACCGCAUAAUGCAACGGAAUCGCAUGACUCUGUUGCCAAAGAUUUAUCGCUCUGAGAUGGCCUCGCGUCUGAUUAGCUAGUUGGUGGGGUAACGGCCCACCAAGGCGACGAUCAGUAGCCGGUCUGAGAGGAUGAACGGCCACAUUGGGACUGAGAUACGGCCCAG